This 460-nucleotide ribosomal RNA is filed under the name uncultured bacterium. Its description in RNAcentral is "partial 16S ribosomal RNA". It matches the Rfam family "Bacterial small subunit ribosomal RNA", at positions 338 to 795 of the family's 1533-position model. The record is from RNAcentral.
CCUACGGGAGGCUGCAGUGAGGAAUAUUGGUCAAUGGACGAGAGUCUGAACCAGCCAAGUAGCGUGAAGGAUGACUGCCCUAUGGGUUGUAAACUUCUUUUAUAUGGGAAUAAAAUGUUCCACGUGUGGGAUUUUGUAUGUACCAUAUGAAUAAGGAUCGGCUAACUCCGUGCCAGCAGCCGCGGUAAUACGGAGGAUCCGAGCGUUAUCCGGAUUUAUUGGGUUUAAAGGGAGCGUAGGUGGAUUGUUAAGUCAGUUGUGAAAGUUUGCGGCUCAACCGUAAAAUUGCAGUUGAAACUGGCAGUCUUGAGUACAGUAGAGGUGGGCGGAAUUCGUGGUGUAGCGGUGAAAUGCUUAGAUAUCACGAAGAACUCCGAUUGCGAAGGCAGCUCACUGGACUGCAACUGACGCUGAGGAGCGAAAGCGUGGGUAGCAAACAGGAUUAGAUACCCUAGUAGUC